This 551-nucleotide long non-coding RNA is filed under the name Gallus gallus (chicken). Lineage: Eukaryota; Metazoa; Chordata; Aves; Galliformes; Phasianidae. The record is from RNAcentral.
CAGCGAUGGCGCAGCGGGGGACGUCGUGGGGACGCAGAGGGGGGCGUCGGGGGCACGAGGGGUGACGGCGAUGGCGCUGGAGAUGGCCCCGUGGGGGACAGGAGGUGGCAGCAAUGGCACGAGGGGUGACAGCUGUGACACGAGGGGGGGCAGCGGUGGCACGAGGAGUGGCCCCGGUGGCGCUGGAGAUGGCAUCGUGGGGACGGGAGGUGGCACCGAUGGCACUGGAGGUGGCCCUAUGGGGACAGGAGGUGGCACCGAUGGCACGAGAGGUGACAGCAAUGACACGGGAGAUGACAGCAAUGGCACGAAAGGUGACAGCAAUGACGCAGGAGGUGACACCGACGGCACUGGAGAUGGCCCCAUGGGGACAGGAGGUGGCACCACGGAUGGGGGACAGGGCAGCAGUGACACGAGAGGUGACAUCAGUGACACAAAGGGUGUCCCCAAAGGCCCUGGAGAUGACCCCAUGGGACGUGGGAUGCCACCACCGACGCAGGACAGGGCAGCAGUGACACCAGAGGUGACAGCAACGACACGGGAGGUGACAC